GCCGCCAUGGCUUAGUGGCUAAAGCGUUGGUCUUGUAAACCAAAGAUCCCGAGUUCAAAUCUCGGUGGCGGCU
Molecule: transfer RNA, 73 nt
Organism: Galdieria sulphuraria
Lineage: Eukaryota; Rhodophyta; Bangiophyceae; Galdieriales; Galdieriaceae
Rfam family: tRNA
About the family: Transfer RNA (tRNA) molecules are approximately 80 nucleotides in length. Their secondary structure includes four short double-helical elements and three loops (D, anti-codon, and T loops).
Source: Rfam